Lates calcarifer (barramundi perch) is the source of this 868-nucleotide long non-coding RNA. RefSeq lists it as uncharacterized. The record is from RefSeq and is a predicted model, not a curated record. NCBI's taxonomy places the organism in Eukaryota, Metazoa, Chordata, Actinopteri, Centropomidae. The transcript is spliced from 3 exons.
AAACCAAAAUGUGACCUCAGUAGAAAAUCUGUUCACUUUCUGCUUUUGCUGCCAGAUUCAUUUGGCAUACAUUUCACCUACUUAAAAACAGAUAUGUUACAUAAUGUAAGACAAAUAAUCUGAGAGGAGUAGUAAAGUCAAUUUGUCGUUUAAAUCUACAUUUCUGGCCGUAGUGUUUCAGCUCUGAUGGUAGAAUGUCAGUGUGAAUUGUAAGAAAGGUAGAGACCAUAAAGGAGAUUCAUAUCUUUUCUUGUAAUUUUACAUCUGGCGCCUCUGUUCCUCUUCUCUUCACUGAUUUAUUGUCAACAUGUUUUUAUUUCUUGUCCCUCCUCCUCGUCAUCUGCUUUCACAUGUCAUUUUCUUAUCCUCCCCUUCCUUCUUUGUCUCACUUUCUCUGUCACUGCUCUCUUUCCUGUGGUGCACUGACAAUGUCGCGAUGGUGCCCGCGCUGAAAAUGACACCAUCACGUCUUCGUCACUUGUCGGUCAGAGUUUAACGGAUUCCCCGGUUCUAGAAGACCUGGGAAAGGUCUUGGAUGGUAAAAUACGGUGCAGCGCUUUCACAUAACAUGCGCUUUGAUUGGCUACCGAGACGUCCUUCGGGUUCGGCAGGAACAGACAGGGACAAACUUCUGGAUUUUUGAAGAAAACUUGGCAGCAAAGGAAACUGAAAAGACAAGAAGAGACCGAGAGAAAGCGAGGAGGUGAUGAUGAAGAGGAGAGAGGAAGAGCAGGUACUGCUCUUUGUCAUUAAGGAGACAUAUUGAUGGAGGAAAAGGUGGAGACACACUGACGGGGAAGAAGAAGGGGCCCAGGAUCCCUGUGGGACUCCAUGCCUGUUACGGAUUAGCUGAUGACUAAAAAAGACU